UACGGGGGGGGCAAGCGUUGUUCGGAAUUACUGGGCGUAAAGGGUGCGUAGGCGGUCCGCUAAGUUGGAUGUGAAACUCUGGGCUUAACCCAGAGCCUGCAUUCAAAACUGACGGGGCUAGAGUUCUGGAGGGGGUAGCGGAAUUCCUGGUGUAGCGGUGAAAUGCGUAGAUAUCAGGAGGAACACCGGUGGCGAAGGCGGCUACCUGGACAGAAACUGACGCUGAGGCGCGAAAGCCUAGGGGAGCAAACAGG
RNAcentral lists this ribosomal RNA (254 nucleotides) under uncultured bacterium. Its description in RNAcentral is "partial 16S ribosomal RNA". It matches the Rfam family "Bacterial small subunit ribosomal RNA", at positions 524 to 776 of the family's 1533-position model. The record is from RNAcentral.